CCGAGGCUUGCAAUUAAAAGUAACCUACAAACAAUACACAAGGUUAUGCUAUGAAAAUAUUUAUGGGUGUAAAUAUGGGUGAAGCUUGGCAACAUUGUACCUUAGCAAAGUAAAACAACAACAACAACGACGACGACGCCGCCAUCUUUAAUUAAUUAGUUAUGGGCCGCCUGGCUAGCAGCUAAUUAGUGACCCGAGUCAAACACACCCACAGAUGCGCGCUGGCUAACAUGCUAACUAUGCUAAAUGCUAACCUGCUCACGGUGGGUGACUGCACCUCGUUAAGCUCAACAAACUGAGGAACAGUGGGACGGAGAGUGGACUGGUUAUACUGGGACCAGAGAGGCCGAGUGGACUGGUUAUACUGGGACCUGAGAGGCCGAGUGGACAUGGUUAUACUGGGACCAGAGAGGCCGAGUGGACUGGUAAUACUGGGACCAGAGAGGCCGAGUGGACAUGGUUAUACUGGGACCAGAGAGGCCGAGUGGACAUGGUUAUACCGGGACCAGAGAGGCCGAGUGGACAUGGUUAUACCGGGACCAGAGAGGCCGAGUGGACUGGUUAUACUGGGACCAGAGAGGUUGAACCAGGAGCAGACAGUGGAGGACUGACGUUCAUACAGAUGAGAUGAACCUCAAGCAAGUGUGAGCUCGAACCCGAUGCUGGAUCCAAGGUCAGAUAGACCCCACGGUGACUGGAAAAGCCUUGUGGGUCCUCUGAUGAAGACUGUUGGGCUGUUAUGAUGUCACAAGUUCAUCGCUGGUGACUGGAAAAGCUCCUUGGUGCUUCGGACAAAGAUUCUAGCCGCUGCAUCUCUCCAGAACUCUGCCAUUCCACCCCAUUCACUUCCUGUCAUCUUAUCCAGAGCCCAGGACAAGCUCAUCAAAAGCCCAUUUCUCUUCACGUCCAGAUCCUCAACUCCAUCUUCAUCUCAUCACCACCACCAGCGUCUAGACUCCAUAGGGGAGGUUCCCUAAUCUACUACGUCUUAACGACCCUCCUGGAAUAUAUGACAUCACGAUGGGGUCUAAUUUACAAAGACUUUUCACAUUUCUCAUUCUAAUGUGCACAUGUUAAUAAAUAUUCUUUCCUCUCAGAACGAGUCGCUCCUGACAGAAAUAGGAAACUACUGUAUAUAAUUAACAAAGAAUUGGGGUUGUUUUGGGUACUUAUCCAU
This is a non-coding RNA of Epinephelus lanceolatus (giant grouper), 1177 nucleotides long. NCBI's taxonomy places the organism in Eukaryota, Metazoa, Chordata, Actinopteri, Perciformes, Serranidae. The record is from RefSeq and is a predicted model, not a curated record.